UACGGAAGGCAGCAGUGGGGAAUAUUGCACAAUGGGCGCAAGCCUGAUGCAGCCAUGCCGCGUGUAUGAAAAAGGCCUUCGGGUUGUAAAGUACUUUCAGUCGUGAGGAAGGUGUUAAGGUUAAUAACCUUAGCAAUUGACGUUAGCGACAGAAGAAGCACCGGCUAACUCCGUGCCAGCAGCCGCGGUAAUACGGAGGGUGCGAGCGUUAAUCGGAAUUACUGGGCGUAAAGGGCACGCAGGCGGUUAAUUAAGUUGGAUGUGAAAUCCCCGGGCUUAACCUGGGAAUGGCAUUCAAGACUGGUUAGCUAGAGUCUUGUAGAGGGGGUAGAAUUCCAUGUGUAGCGGUGAAAUGCGUAGAGAUGUGGAGGAAUACCGGUGGCGAAGGCGGCCCCUGGGACAAAGACUGACGCUCAUGUGCGAAAGCGUGGGGAGC
This 436-nucleotide ribosomal RNA is filed under the name uncultured bacterium. Its description in RNAcentral is "bacterial SSU rRNA". It matches the Rfam family "Bacterial small subunit ribosomal RNA", at positions 340 to 769 of the family's 1533-position model. The record is from RNAcentral.